This is a long non-coding RNA of Glycine soja, 797 nucleotides long. RefSeq lists it as uncharacterized. The record is from RefSeq and is a predicted model, not a curated record. NCBI's taxonomy places the organism in Eukaryota, Viridiplantae, Streptophyta, Magnoliopsida, Fabales, Fabaceae. The transcript has 2 exons.
ACCUAUAGCUACGGAGGAACGCAUCGUUGACAAAAAUGGAACCGAGUUCCACUAAGAGUAGUUAACAUGAAAUGAAACCCCGUGGUUAGCUAAUGAAUAUGUUCCCUAUAUACAUGAGAGAAACUUCAACUUACAAAAAGAGGAGGAGGAGGUGGUGCUGGCGGGGAUUGGUGGGUUCCAUAUUGCUGCUAACAUUGGCUUUUAAUAUUAUGAAUCGCACACGUGGUUGAGAAUUCCCGAGGUAGCAACAAAAGAGAUGGGUUUGAUGGAGGAAGAUCCUAAAAUAACCGGAUUCACAGUUAUCAAUGGCGAUCUCCUAAUUUUGGCAACUGAAACAAGAGUCUACAGAAGGUUUGACUGAUGAUGAAAACUAUAUAAGGGUUGAGGAAAUAUGCCAACACAGAUACGAAUCCAAAGUUUGCUUUACUUCCUACUCAGAUAGUCUUCGUCUCUGUGGACCAGGGGCUACAUGUUUGCCUUGUUAAGCUUCUUGUUGUCAAAGAAAUUGAUUAUCGAUAUGAGCAUACAGAUUCAACUGUACUUUCUUCAAGUUCCUAUUGCUGCUGAUGAUUCUCCAAGUAUUAGCUGGAAGCCUCCUCCGAUUGGUGUGGUGUGUACAAGCUCAAUUGUGACGGUUCAGUCGAAAAGCAUUUGAAUAAAGCCGCUGUUGGAGGGAUUCUGCGAAAUGAUUCUGGGCAUGUUGUCUUUGCAUUUUCGGCUUAAUAUUUGUUUUUGCUGUGUUAAGAGCUGAACUUUGGGAUAUCCUUAACUGGUUUUUGCAUUUCGUUCUUUCAAAA